UACGUAGGGUGCAAGCGUUAAUCGGAAUUACUGGGCGUAAAGCGUGCGCAGGCGGUUAUGUAAGACAGAUGUGAAAUGCCCGGGCUUAACCUGGGAACUGCAUUUGUGACUGCAUGGCUAGAGUUUGGCAGAGGGGGGUAGAAUUCCACGUGUAGCAGUGAAAUGCGUAGAUAUGUGGAGGAACACCGAUGGCGAAGGCAGCCCCGUGGGUCAAGACUGACGCUCAUGCACGAAAGCGUGGGGAGCAAACAGG
This 253-nucleotide ribosomal RNA is filed under the name uncultured bacterium. RNAcentral's name for it is "partial 16S ribosomal RNA". It matches the Rfam family "Bacterial small subunit ribosomal RNA", at positions 524 to 776 of the family's 1533-position model. The record is from RNAcentral.